GGAGUUGUGACUCAGUGGUAGAGUGCAUGCCUCACAUGUGUGAGGCAUUGGGUUCAAUUCUA
Molecule: transfer RNA, 62 nt
Filed under: Ictidomys tridecemlineatus (thirteen-lined ground squirrel)
Lineage: Eukaryota; Metazoa; Chordata; Mammalia; Rodentia; Sciuridae
Description: Spermophilus tridecemlineatus (thirteen-lined ground squirrel) tRNA
Rfam family: tRNA
About the family: Transfer RNA (tRNA) molecules are approximately 80 nucleotides in length.
Source: Rfam by way of RNAcentral